AGUUUUUGCUUAAAUUCAAAACUUGUAAAAUAUUUUUGGUAAUUAGUAAUAUAUGUUUUUUUAAAUAAAUUCCUUGCCACCUUCAAACAUGUCUUCUAAAAGCCCGUAUGGGAAACAUAUAGUAGAUUACUUGCACCAGUUUGGUUCAAUGACAUUAUCAUCGUUGUUGGAUUAUAUAGCUAAUACAAGUGAUUUACGAAAGUCGGAAUUAAGGUCACGUGUAUUAGAAACUCUAGAACGUAUGGAAGAUAUGGGCGUUCUUAAACGCAUGGAAGGACAAUAUGCGGUUCCGUCAUUAAAUGAAGAGUUAUGUUUUGAACCAACUUAUAGCAAUGAUGCUAACGUGGUUUAUAGUCUAAUAGGUUCAUAUCAUAAAAAAAAAUCAAAAUCAAAAAUAUGAAACUCGCAUUAGUUAUGGUUAGUCCUUCUUGUAGACUAGUAAGCAUAUAUUGGUUCAAUGACAAUUUUGUUUGGAUCCUGUAAUUUGUAACUAAUUAUUUGACUCGAGUUGUGGUAAAUGGCUACCGCGUAUUCCCAUAAAUAAAAACCAGAAACCAUCACGACAAAUGCCAGCGUUUGCAUUUGCUUUUUUCAUCUGCAGUGUCCGCGAUCAGGAAUUCUUUUCAAUGGACCACCAUAGGUAUUUUGGUGAAAUUAAAAUUUUUUUAUAUUCGAAUACGCUUUAUGUUUGCAAUGCAUACAUGGAAAUCCUUACAUCAUCUGCAGUACAACAAUCUGUUAAGAAAUAUGGGCCAAUAUAGAGGAACUCGCUUACAAAUAUUUAAAGCUUCAAUUUAAAAGGAAGAUAAUAGUAAAAAACACACCUCUGCGGGUUAUUCGGACGGUUUGGUAUAAAGAACAAUAAGUUGAGAGAUUAUAUUCAAUACGCAGUAGAUAUAUCACACUUGACUGUUGUCAAAAUAAUUAAUAAAAAUUAUUAAAAAAAAAGUUAAUUAAAUCAACUUGAACAUCCUUUUGCAUGCGAAUAAUUACCAGCGAGUUAUAUCUCAGAGAAGUCUUUAUUUUGAAUCGAAUGAUAUAAUAUUGAAAUACCCAAGGCUUAAGAGAUAAAGGGUUAAUGAAAAU
This is an RNA transcript of Teleopsis dalmanni, 1086 nucleotides long. RefSeq lists it as uncharacterized. The transcript has 4 exons. NCBI's taxonomy places the organism in Eukaryota, Metazoa, Arthropoda, Insecta, Diptera, Diopsidae. The record is from RefSeq and is a predicted model, not a curated record.